GAUGAACGCUGGCGGCGUGCCUAAUACAUGCAAGUCGAGCGAACAGACGAGGAGCUUGCUCCUCUGACGUUAGCGGCGGACGGGUGAGUAACACGUGGAUAACCUACCUAUAAGACUGGGAUAACUUCGGGAAACCGGAGCUAAUACCGGAUAAUAUAUUGAACCGCAUGGUUCAAUAGUGAAAGACGGUUUUGCUGUCACUUAUAGAUGGAUCCGCGCCGCAUUAGCUAGUUGGUAAGGUAACGGCUUACCAAGGCAACGAUGCGUAGCCGACCUGAGAGGGUGAUCGGCCACACUGGAACUGAGACACGGUCCAGACUCCUACGGGAGGCAGCAGUAGGGAAUCUUCCGCAAUGGGCGAAAGCCUGACGGAGCAACGCCGCGUGAGUGAUGAAGGUCUUCGGAUCGUAAAACUCUGUUAUUAGGGAAGAACAAAUGUGUAAGUAACGAUGCACGUCUUGACGGUACCGAAGCAGAAAGCCACGGCUAACUACGU
RNAcentral lists this ribosomal RNA (496 nucleotides) under uncultured bacterium. RNAcentral describes it as "partial 16S ribosomal RNA". It matches the Rfam family "Bacterial small subunit ribosomal RNA", at positions 28 to 506 of the family's 1533-position model. The record is from RNAcentral.